UUCCGGAGAGGGAGCAUGAGAAAUGGCUACCACUUCCAAGGAAGGCAGCAGGCGCGUAAAUUACCCAAUCCUAAAACAGGGAGGUAGUGACGAUAAAUAACAAUGAUUCAAUGAUAACAAAGUUGAAUUAAUUGGAAUGAGAACAAUAUAAAUCCCUUAUCGAGUAACAAUUUCAGGGCAAGUUCUGGGUGCCAGCAGCCGCGGUAAUUCCAGCUGAAAAAGCGUAUACGAAUAUUGUUGCAGUUAAAACGCUCGUAGUUGGAAUAAAACAUGGUUUUCUAUUUUUUUAUUUUAAACGGUAAAAAGUAUAGAAUAUCAUUUUUUAAUUUUAUAUAUAAAAGUAAUUUUAUAUAUAUAAUUACUUUGAUAAAUUAGUAGUGCUUUUAAGCUAGAUUAAAAAAUAAUUUGUAUAUUUUUUUUGUACGUUUUAGU
RNAcentral lists this ribosomal RNA (432 nucleotides) under uncultured eukaryote. Its description in RNAcentral is "partial 18S ribosomal RNA". It matches the Rfam family "Eukaryotic small subunit ribosomal RNA", at positions 381 to 808 of the family's 1831-position model. The record is from RNAcentral.